Molecule: ribosomal RNA, 253 nt
Filed under: uncultured bacterium
Lineage: Bacteria
Description: partial 16S ribosomal RNA
Rfam family: Bacterial small subunit ribosomal RNA
Source: RNAcentral
AACGUAGGUGGCGAGCGUUAUCCGGAUUUACUGGGCGUAAAGCGUGUGCAGGCGGCUUCACAAGUGGUGUAUGAAAUAUCCAGGCUCAACCUGGAGGGGUUAUGCCAGACUGUGAGGCUUGAGUGCGAGAGAGGGGCGUGGAAUUCCGGGUGUAGUGGUGAAAUGCGUAGAGAUCCGGAGGAACCCCAGAGGCGAAGGCGGCGCCCUGGCUCGCAACUGACGCUCAGACACGACAGCAUGGGGAGCGAACGGG